RNAcentral lists this long non-coding RNA (4813 nucleotides) under Canis lupus familiaris (dog). RNAcentral's name for it is "lncRNA (ENSCAFG00000058871.1)". Lineage: Eukaryota; Metazoa; Chordata; Mammalia; Carnivora; Canidae. The record is from RNAcentral.
UCUGAGAAACAUGAUGAUAGGCAGGGAUCUUUCCUCCCAUGUUUCAAUACCUACAUACCUAUUGAAAGGGAACAGUAGGUAAAACAUUUCCUAAAGUUGAAGUGAGAGCUUCAUAGAUUCUUGGUUACUUUAUUUUUUUUAAUGCUUUACAUUUGAUACAACUAUUAAAGAUCAAUUUUAAAAAUAGCUUUCCAGUAAUAUAUUUUAAGUAAUAUAUAUUUUAAUAUCUAUGUAAAAAGUGACAGUGGAAGACUUUGAAUUUCUCAUAUAUGGUAUGUUUAACGUAGGACCUCACUGUUAAGGCACAAAUUGUUACAAAGGAAGUUACUCUAAAGACACUCAGAUUAUUUCCAGAAAAUGCAAUAAGGGGAAUAGUUUUGAAGUUUAUUUUUUAUUUUAAAAGAAUAUCAACUUAUUUACCACAAGCUAUUUUUUUUCCUUCUGGCUUAUAAGGUUUGUACAGACUGGUUUGGUAAAUGCUAAACUUUUGUGUCUUUUUGCCUUUUUAAAGGAAUUGUUAACAUUGGAAUUGAGGGUAUGUACAGAGAAGUUGGUGUCAACACCAUUUAAAAAGUCAUAUUUUUUCACAAAUAUAGAAAAAUCAUUUUACAUAAGAAUUUUAAGUAUUUGCAAUAAAUAUAUGUAUAUAGAUUGUAUGUAUUCAUAUAUUCUUAUUUUUCAUUUUAUUAUUAAGUAAAAGAUAAUUAAAGUGAAAAUAAAAACCUUGGACUUUUUGGUGAAUCUUGAGGUCUGACAUCCAUCUGAGAGCGGUGUGGGUAAGGGCCCUCAGCUGUUGCCUUAUAUUAUUACCAUUGGAAGAUUACAACAGAUUGUAUAGAAGGGUAAAAUGAGAAAUUUGGUGAUAAACAAAUCAGGGUAGCAUAUUUCUUUCAGAACUCUAGUAAAAAUAUUAAACUUGCCUAAUCUGUCUGUCUCUGCUUUCACCCUUGAACUGUUCUGUCUCUUAACCAUGGGAUGUUACUGGGAACGUUGAAAAACAGACAAACACAAAAACAUGGUGCAUUCCUUUUUUUUUUUUUUUAAUGUGCCCACUGUUUGCUUCUAAAACAAAGAAUGGUAAGAAAAUAUCUCAGGGGUAAAAAUAGGUUUUUCUUUCUCAACUGUGGUUAAUAAUUCAUUAGCAAACAUUCACUGCCACAACCUUCUAAGCGAUAGGAGUAUGUGAAGAAAUAAUCCCAUGAAGAUAAUCAAAAACUUGUUUUCUCUUUACCAGUUCUUCUCUGAGAAGUAAGUUUCCUAACUGGUUCUGUAUCCUUCCUGAUUGAUCCGGUGAGGGAGUUUCAAAACCAGUUUUAGGUCCUUCCUAAUUGAUCUGGAGAGCUAGAAGAGCUAGGAGAGCUUGGAUUUUGAUCUCCCCUGUGUCAGGAAGGGCAUUUAUGCAAAUGAGGACUCAGCCAGAUAUUAGGAGAGCUUAACUGCCAGUCUAUAUCCCAUACCUACAGAUAGCCUGGAAUCCUGCUGUUCAAGAGAAUUUUGUGGUUGCAAAUACUUGGUUUUAGGAUAUGAUUGAAGGAGCAAAAUGAUACCUAGAUAGUCUUUGGAAAUAGAUAUCUAGUCUAUUCUUUAAAAAUGAAUAAUUUAUAGAUUUAUUGAUGAAAUAAAAAAUAAGGUCAGAACUCCACGAAUGUAUCUUAGUGACCCAUGAAACUGACUCUUCUAGUUUCCUAGUUCUCCCCUUAAUUCCUCAGCUGUGAUUAUUUCACUGAUAAAAGUAGCAUAUUUUGGAAAUUAAUAAGGAUUUAUAGAAUGCUUUUUUUAAAAGAUUGCCUUGUUAUCUUUCAAAAAUUGAAAUUUCAAACAUUGGGGUUGCCCAAAGACAUUGAAGAUCAUUUACCACUCCAAGAGAACAGCAUUCUAAAUCUUUGCUUAAAAUAUGCUUUUUCUAAAGGAAAUUUUCGUAUGUCUCAGGGAACAUCUGCAUUCUUAUAAUUACCAUAUAUAAUAGAAGUGAAAGUGAAAUAUUUAAAUGUAUGUGAACCAGUCCAUUAUGGCCAUUUACAGACAGACACACACACACACACCGUUUCUAAUACAUAUUUAUAAUUAUUUAAAUGGGCCUCCUACCUCACCAGAAGUAAAAUUUCUUCAUGUUCAGGUUAAUGACAUAGGAGCCUAAAUGUGUAGUUGAUGUGCAGUUGAAUGAGAAAGAGCAAUAUACUAGAACACGACUUCAACUUGAAUCUCCAAUUGUCCAUUCUUUAUUUACAUCACAGUCUAGAAACCUGUGUUCAAUGCUUUUGACACUACUUGACCAAACGGUCUUAAGAAAUAAGAUUUUGCAUAAUGUGUCUAGCUGGUUUUGUGUACAAAUCAUGUUAUUCAUUGAUUCACAUAUUUCUCGGAGCACCUACUAUGUGCUAGGCACUGUGAUGAGGUUCAGGUUUUAUAAGGGUAAACAAAAGCAACCAGGUAGAUUGCAAAAGGUCUUCCUAACAUAUCAGUAGCCAUACAGCACAUGUCUAGUUCAGGGCUCAAGGAGUAAUAGAUACCACAUAUUUCCCAAGACACGAUGGAAAUUUAAAUAUAAAUGAGUUAUGGAAGGGACGUGUUUGAGGCACUGUUUGAAACCAUGGCAAAACAUGAAGAGCGAAAGGAAAGGCAUUGCCCCUAGGUAAAAUAACAUGGAAGUGAAGAAGAUGUAGAAUUCUUAAUAGAAACUUAAAUUUCUUAGUAACAUCUUAGUUGAAGAGAGAAUCCCGUUCAAUUAAUUCUGGUCAGUGCACCCAGAAAGAUGCUAUAAUCUUAACUAACCCUUUCCAAUAACUCUUAGGUAAAUAAUGUAGCCUGCCUUUCCCUAAUGUUCAAACCGAAAGGAAGCUAAAGGGAAUUAAAACUAAACCUUGAUUUUCAUUUUGUAGUCUGGUGAGAAGGAAGAGAUGUUGCAUCCCUGUUUUUUCUCCAUAAUGGAUAAAACUGGUGUUCUAAAGUUUUUAUUCUAGUACAGUAGAAUUGGCUCCCCCAUCCCCCAUUAUGAAGUCACAGAAUUUUUAACUACAAGAAACUUCAGCAGUACCUUAGUCCUUUUUAAUGGCCUAAAUUCCCAAUUUUUACUUUAAGAUUUUCUGGUUAAAAAAAAAAUUUUUUUAAGAUAAAUCAUUGUAUUUUGUGAGUGCUUAUUCUUGAAUUUUCCUUAUCAUUUAUCAUUAACUUGGAUUGUUGGAUUUGCAACUCAAAUUCUGCAUGCCAAAAUAUCCAUAUUCACCUUUAAAAGAGGUAUUUGGUGUAUUCCACCAUGAAAUGUCCCAACUUUGCCCAGGAAGUAGGAGGGUGGGUAUCCUGUAUUUUCCUAAUACUUGGUGACCUUAGAAAACCAAGUUUCUUUUACAGAGAUGUAUAAACUGAGGAAUCUCUAUACCUCCGUGGAGCUUUCACUCUUAAUCAGUAAAGACUAUCUCUAUAAGAAAGACUUCCCUAAGAAAGACAGGAAGGAGGGAUUGAGCCUGGAAGGGAGAGCCAGAGAUGAUCAGGCCAUAGAAAUGGGCUGUGACGAGAUAGUGUGUUCUCCUGAAGAAUAACUUCCAACUCUAUUCCUGGUUCUUCAAACUCAAAAGGAGGCUAAAGGGAAAUAAAAAAAGCCCACUGAUUUCCAUCUUGACUGCAAAACCCACAGAAUGCCUGGGGGAGAAAAAAGGUAAACCCAAGAUUGGAUUUAAAAUGGGUUUAAGUAAACUGAAUUAUUCUUAACUUACCCUUUUAUGGAGUUUUUUUUUUUUUUUAAGGUUUUGAGUUCACAUAAUGUUAAAUUGCCAUGAUUAGAAUGUGAAAUUUGAUUUGAGACAUUUUAUGGGCAAGGUGAUGGUUUUCUAUUGAGUUAUCCGGUGGCAGCUUUUGCUGCUGCUCAGGAUUUAGUGUUGUGCACCUGUGUCUGUUAAAUAAUGCCGAUGUUGCUCAUAAACACUAUUUUGCCAACUUGAGUCAACAAUUUUAUUAACUUUAAUCGUGGGUUCUCUUUCUAAAUAUUUAAAAUUUAAAUUAGCCCAAUAAGAAAGCAGUGCAUUAAAUGUUAUCAAAAUACUUGAAGAUACCUUAGAACUAUUAUUUUACACACAGCCUGUUCCCUUUCUAUGGAAAGGGUGGUACAAAAACUUUUACUUUAUUACUUUCUUUCCAAAAACCAAUAUCUGAUGUUUCCAGAUACCUAGAGCUUGGAAAUGAUGGAGUUGGACUUUGGCCCGAGGUUAGCAAUUCUCAUUUUAGGUUUUUGGGCAAUAGCAAUUUGAAGACCUGGGUGGUAACCCCAGCUGAACGUAUAUGUAAUCACUUAACACAAACUUUAAAGUAAUGAAACUUUUCCAGAGUCUCAGAUUUGGUUUCUCCUCUGUUGUUGCAUAAGGAGAUGGAUUCUGGGCUGGGAAGGACCUAACCGUUUGUUCCUUGAUAAUAGACUACUGAUUGAAGGGCAGGCUCUUACUGAAUUCGUGAAAUUCAUAGAAUCCAUAAAAGAUCUCGAGUACAUGACUAAUGAAACUCUGGAAAUAAACCUUUCUCAGCCAUAAGUGCUAUGACCUAUUUUUUUUUAAAACCCGUCUUAAUCCUGUGACUCAUUGCAUCACACCUUAAAACUUUUUCACCAGCACCAAGAGAAAUCAGAAUGGAAGAAAUGACCUUAUGUUGGUCUUGUUCACUUAAUCUUUGUGCACAUAGGCCUUAGCACUUUGACAGAUAAAACUCUGCCUUUUAGCUCCCCUCUCACUAUCGUCUUUAUUCCUCUCACUUUUAGACCGUUCCUUUUAUUGGUUGUAUAAAACUACCUUCCUCAGAAUUGAAUGUACAAUGUUUCUGCACAUGGGCA